AAUUCCAGGUGUAGCGGUGAAAUGCGUAGAGAUCUGGAGGAAUACCGGUGGCGAAGGCGGCCCCCUGGACAAAGACUGACGCUCAGGUGCGAAAGCGUGGGGAGCAAACAGGAUUAGAUACCCUGGUAGUCCACGCCGUAAACGAUGUCUACUUGGAGGUUGUGCCCUUGAGGCGUGGCUUCCGGAGCUAACGCGUUAAGUAGACCGCCUGGGGAGUACGGCCGCAAGGUUAAAACUCAAAUGAAUUGACGGGGGCCCGCACAAGCGGUGGAGCAUGUGGUUUAAUUCGAUGCAACGCGAAGAACCUUACCUGGUCUUGACAUCCACAGAACUUUCCAGAGAUGGAUUGGUGCCUUCGGGAACUGUGAGACAGGUGCUGC
This 380-nucleotide ribosomal RNA is filed under the name Salmonella enterica subsp. enterica serovar Colindale. Its description in RNAcentral is "bacterial SSU rRNA". It matches the Rfam family "Bacterial small subunit ribosomal RNA", at positions 665 to 1044 of the family's 1533-position model. Lineage: Bacteria; Pseudomonadati; Pseudomonadota; Gammaproteobacteria; Enterobacterales; Enterobacteriaceae. The record is from RNAcentral.